This is a small nucleolar RNA of Loxodonta africana (African savanna elephant), 91 nucleotides long. Its record names the gene SNORD116. It matches the Rfam family "Small nucleolar RNA SNORD116". Rfam says of the family: HBII-85 is a member of the C/D class of snoRNAs, which contain the C (UGAUGA) and D (CUGA) box motifs. HBII-85 is encoded in a tandemly repeated array with another C/D snoRNA, HBII-52, in the Prader-Willi syndrome (PWS) region of chromosome 15. Unlike most other snoRNAs, HBII-85 is expressed prevalently in the brain (but is absent in PWS patients) and lacks any significant complementarity with ribosomal RNA. The record is from Ensembl. NCBI's taxonomy places the organism in Eukaryota, Metazoa, Chordata, Mammalia, Proboscidea, Elephantidae.
ACAGAUGUUGACUCCCAACUAAACAUUCUUUGAAAAAGCUAAACAUACCUACUGAAAACACACUACCAUCUGGCAUCAUUGAACAGAAUGU